RNAcentral lists this ribosomal RNA (253 nucleotides) under uncultured bacterium. RNAcentral describes it as "partial 16S ribosomal RNA". It matches the Rfam family "Bacterial small subunit ribosomal RNA", at positions 524 to 776 of the family's 1533-position model. The record is from RNAcentral.
UACAGAGGUCUCAAGCGUUGUUCGGAUUCAUUGGGCGUAAAGGGUGCGUAGGCGGCGCGGUAAGUCGGGUGUGAAAUCUCGGAGCUUAACUCCGAAACUGCAUUCGAUACUGCCGUGCUUGAGGACUGGAGAGGAGACUGGAAUUUACGGUGUAGCGGUGAAAUGCGCAGAUAUCAGGAAGAACACCAAUGGCGAAGGCAGCUCUCUGGGACGGUACUGACGCUGAGACGCGAAAGCGUGGGGAGCGAACAGG